RNAcentral lists this long non-coding RNA (481 nucleotides) under Fukomys damarensis (Damara mole-rat). Its description in RNAcentral is "lncRNA (ENSFDAG00000026815.1)". Lineage: Eukaryota; Metazoa; Chordata; Mammalia; Rodentia; Bathyergidae. The record is from RNAcentral.
GUCUACACAACCCUCCUUUAACUUUGAAGCAUAGAGGCAAAGACAGAGGAAGGCUUCUGUGAAGAAUUAUUGGUCCACAGUGUGUGAAGUUUUACUAAUUAUGUUACCGAAUUGAGACAAGAUGCCUUUAUCUAGACGGCGCCUCUGCACCUAGAAGAGAAGUGAGAAGUGAGAAUUCAGCCUCUUAGGAACAGACCUUCCCAGGAAGCGCCUCGGUCUGGAGCCCGCACCCCGCCCUCCGCACCCUCCGGCCUGCGCCUGGGAGCUGGUGUCGAGGUCCACCUUGUGGUCCUCUCUCCGCUCCCACAGGAGCUGCGAGGCGAGAGCACCACUGGGUCGCGGCGGAGGUAAAUCUGACGUUGGUCAGCAAGUGAGCCCCGAGGGGACAGAAGUUAAAUCAACAUGCUUCUUCUUCUUUCAAACGAGCGGGCCAACAAACAGAAGGUCAGUAUCGGCACCUUUAGUAAGCACACCGUUGGGG